RNAcentral lists this small nucleolar RNA (136 nucleotides) under Cavia aperea (Brazilian guinea pig). Lineage: Eukaryota; Metazoa; Chordata; Mammalia; Rodentia; Caviidae. The record is from RNAcentral.
GUGGCCCUGCACCAAGGCUGGCAGUUUCUGAAGCUGGUGGUUUCAAGCGGGAGCCUGAAGCAGUAUCAUCCCACGAUCUGUUGGUCACUUCAGAACUUUAGAAAUGUAAUAGUCAAUUCAUUAGAAAGAAAGAACU